Molecule: microRNA precursor, 60 nt
Filed under: Parasteatoda tepidariorum (common house spider)
Lineage: Eukaryota; Metazoa; Arthropoda; Arachnida; Araneae; Theridiidae
Description: microRNA pte-mir-11963b precursor (pte-mir-11963b-1)
Source: miRBase by way of RNAcentral
AUGUGUUCAUGGCACAACGGUUAGCGCGUCGGUUGAAACCGUUGUACCAUGAAAACAUUU